AGUGAACGCUGGCGGUAGGCCUAACACAUGCAAGUCGAACGGCAGCACAGUAAGAGCUUGCUCUUACGGGUGGCGAGUGGCGGACGGGUGAGGAAUACAUCGGAAUCUACUUUUUCGUGGGGAUAACGUAGGGAAACUUACGCUAAUACCGCAUACGACCUACGGGUGAAAGCAGGGGAUCUUCGGACCUUGCGCGAUUGAAUGAGCCGAUGUCGGAUUAGCUAGUUGGCGGGGUAAAGGCCCACCAAGGCGACGAUCCGUAGCUGGUCUGAGAGGAUGAUCAGAACACUGGAACUGAGACACGGUCCAGACCCCUACGGGAGGCAGCAGUGGGGAAUAUUGGACAAUGGGCGCAAGCCUGAUCCAGCCAUACCGCGUGGGUGAAGAAGGCCUUCGGGUUGUAAAGCCCUUUUGUUGGGAAAGAAAAGCAGCAGGUUAAUACCCCGCUGUUCUGACGGUACCCAAAGAAUAAGCACCGGCUAACUUCGUG
This 490-nucleotide ribosomal RNA is filed under the name uncultured bacterium. RNAcentral's name for it is "partial 16S ribosomal RNA". It matches the Rfam family "Bacterial small subunit ribosomal RNA", at positions 29 to 507 of the family's 1533-position model. The record is from RNAcentral.